AUGACAUUCCCAUAAUAGAAUGGGUGGGGGCGAUUAUGAAUCAUUUGAGUAUUGUGAAGAAUGUGAUCUCAUUUUGUACCCAAGCCACCAACUGCCUGACCCAUGAGGCCACCCUAGACCACCCACUCACUGGCCCACCCACCAGCUGACCACGGACCCAUGAGAGAACCAGAAAAACUGCCCAGGAAACCAACAAAAUAUGAUCCAGCCCAGCCUGUGAGACCCCAGCCAGCAUGGCCCACCAGGAUGGCUCUUCCACAAAACGGAGAUCCAUUUGGAAAUGGAAGAAGACUCACCAACCACUUCAGGCCCACCAAUGCAGUGCUUUCCCAGAGGAACUUGCAACUUAACAGCAUAAGGGACUUGACAUAAAGGCUAUUUCCACUGUUGUUUCCUGAGA
Molecule: long non-coding RNA, 400 nt
Filed under: Homo sapiens (human)
Lineage: Eukaryota; Metazoa; Chordata; Mammalia; Primates; Hominidae
Description: HSALNT0305684
Source: RNAcentral